Molecule: ribosomal RNA, 457 nt
Filed under: uncultured bacterium
Lineage: Bacteria
Description: bacterial SSU rRNA
Rfam family: Bacterial small subunit ribosomal RNA
Source: RNAcentral
GGGCCCGCACAAGCAGUGGAGUAUGUGGUUUAAUUCGAAGCAACGCGAAGAACCUUACCAGGUCUUGACAUCGAGUGAAGAUGCUAGAGAUAGCAUCGUCCUUCGGGACACGAAGACAGGUGGUGCAUGGUUGUCGUCAGCUCGUGUCGUGAGAUGUUGGGUUAAGUCCCGCAACGAGCGCAACCCUUAUCAUUAGUUGCUACGCAAGAGCACUCUAAUGAGACUGCCGUUGACAAAACGGAGGAAGGUGGGGAUGACGUCAAAUCAUCAUGCCCCUUAUGACCUGGGCUACACACGUACUACAAUGGCGAUAAACAGAGUGUUGCGACACCGCGAGGUGAAGCUAAUCACAAAAAAUCGUCUCAGUUCGGAUUGUAGGCUGCAACUCGCCUACAUGAAGCUGGAAUUGCUAGUAAUCGCGAAUCAGAAUGUCGCGGUGAAUACGUUCCCGGGCCUU